This is a small nucleolar RNA of Brugia malayi, 76 nucleotides long. Lineage: Eukaryota; Metazoa; Nematoda; Chromadorea; Rhabditida; Onchocercidae. The record is from RefSeq and is a predicted model, not a curated record.
AUCGAGUCAUAAAAUGGCUUUGACAAAUGUUACGAAAUGAUUUUACUGCUGAAAGUGUACCAUUCUAAUAGACGUU